CCGGGCGGUGCGGGAGACGAGGAGGAGCAGACGGGGAGAGGAAAGGAGAGGAGCCGCCGCCGCCGCCUCGCCCCUCUGGUUCUUUCGGUUGCACUGAGGCCAGAGCUAACCCAGAGCUGACCCAAAGGACAUUAUUGUUUGUGGAAAAGCUCCCAGGAACUUCACUACAGCCUGGACCUGUUCUUUAGACCUGCCUGCUGCAAACCAGCUCGUGCUGAGGUUUGUAGUGUUUUGAUGCACCCUUCAUCAUCGUGCCUCUGACAGUGGAUUUGCAGUGAGGAUCAAGCCCCAAUAUUGAACUUGUG
Molecule: long non-coding RNA, 305 nt
Organism: Melospiza melodia melodia
Lineage: Eukaryota; Metazoa; Chordata; Aves; Passeriformes; Passerellidae
Exons: 3
Source: RefSeq, a predicted model, not a curated record